RNAcentral lists this ribosomal RNA (283 nucleotides) under uncultured bacterium. Its description in RNAcentral is "partial 16S ribosomal RNA". It matches the Rfam family "Bacterial small subunit ribosomal RNA", at positions 44 to 334 of the family's 1533-position model. The record is from RNAcentral.
GUGCUUAACACAUGCAAGUCGAACGGGUGUAGCAAUACACUCGUGGCGAACGGGUGCGUAACACGUGGAUAACCUUCCUUCAGGUGGGGAAUAACCCAGUGAAAAUUGGGCUAAUACCGCAUAACAAUGCGAUGGCACAUGCUGUUGCAUUCAAAGGCGCAAGUCGCCAGAAGAGGGAUCCGCGGCCGAUUAGCUUGUUGGCGAGGUAAUGGCUCACCAAGGCAAUGAUCGGUAGCCGGACUGAGAGGUUGGCCGGCCACACUGGAACUGAGACACGGUCCAG